RNAcentral lists this ribosomal RNA (201 nucleotides) under uncultured bacterium. RNAcentral's name for it is "partial 16S ribosomal RNA". It matches the Rfam family "Bacterial small subunit ribosomal RNA", at positions 1300 to 1500 of the family's 1533-position model. The record is from RNAcentral.
GUAGUCUGCAACCCGACUACAUGAAGCCGGAAUCGCUAGUAAUCGCGGAUCAGAAUGCCGCGGUGAAUACGUUCCCGGGUCUUGUACACACCGCCCGUCACACCAUGGGAGUCGGAAAUGCCCGAAGUCAGUGGCCCAACCGGAAGGGGGGAGCUGCCGAAGGCAGGUUCGAUGACUGGGGUGAAGUCGUAACAAGGUAUC